UAUCAAUCAAUUUAUAAUAUGAGUCUUUUAAGUCAAUAUGUUUUCGUGAGCCAAAAUGGAGGGAAUAAUGUUAAUCCAUCAUCUGAGCCUCUAGAAGAAAUAGACGAUCAUGAAGAAUAUAUAAAAGUACAAAAAUAUUUCUAGGAGUACCUUGUCCUAGCACACUGGAGCAAGGUAUAAGAACUUGUGGCUUUAGAGAUGUACUUAUUAUCUUGGCCAUGCAACCCCAAGCGAAGACUUCAUUAAAUGAAAUUUGUCCAUUGCUGGCAACAGCAUUCUCUCUACCAAAAGUCUCAUGUCAUAUAGGUGUAGCUAUGAAGGAAGAGGCCAUGAUGAGUUGCACGUGGUAGCAUUCAUCUUUGAGGCUGCAAGCUGCAAAAGAGGUGGAAUGAAGAAUGGA
This 400-nucleotide long non-coding RNA is filed under the name Eucalyptus grandis. RNAcentral's name for it is "long non-coding RNA (EGRA_LNC007254)". The record is from RNAcentral. Lineage: Eukaryota; Viridiplantae; Streptophyta; Magnoliopsida; Myrtales; Myrtaceae.